CCAAGAACAAAUGUCAAAAAGAGAAGUUUGUUCACAGUUCCUGACUGAACAAGGAGGAGAAGACGUUUAAUGGAAAUGUGAAGCUCAUGCCUGGGGCUCCUGGAACCUGUAGAUGAAACUAGGAGUUUGUGGCCAAGCCUACCAACCAUAGCUCCCAACCGUUUCUUGUCUUUUGGCACGUUGGUCCUGAAACCAAGGAGUUGGAGAGAACACCCAGUCCAUUCUUAGCUUUGACUUGGAUUGCACCCGCGACUAGAAGAAACAAUGGAGCCGGUGGCAUUCAGUGCUCCAGAGCUGUACUUCUUAAUGUACCUGUCAGAUGACUGUGGCCUUUGGGUUUCCCUCAGGCAGGCAACACUCCUCGAAAUUGGAAACAUGCAUCUACUUCCUCCAGGUGGACGCAGCCCCAUGCAAGGAUGCAUGGCUUGGACUCCUGAGAUGUUUGGUGGAAUAGAAACUUUGACGUGAUGCCAAGCAAGGUCCUAUAGUUUCUCGGGUGACCCGUUGUACGACUGUGCUAGAAAACUUCAAGUCUGUUAUUCAGAGAACUGCUAAGAGAACCUGUCUUUGGAAGCAAAGGCCCGGGUCUGAAUCUGGACUCAGCCACUUACGACCUCUGUGUUCUUGGUGAUAAAGAUUCCCUCAGGAAGAAUGCGUGACUGCUCGAGAAGCACUGGACUCCCCCAAUCUUUGGAACAUUUUCCCGUG
This is a long non-coding RNA of Suricata suricatta (meerkat), 708 nucleotides long. RefSeq lists it as uncharacterized. NCBI's taxonomy places the organism in Eukaryota, Metazoa, Chordata, Mammalia, Carnivora, Herpestidae. The transcript is spliced from 4 exons. The record is from RefSeq and is a predicted model, not a curated record.